CCUACGGGAGACAGCAGUGAGGAAUAUUGGUCAAUGGCCGGAAGGCUGAACCAGCCAAGCCGCGUGAAGGACGAAGGUGCCAAGCAUUGUAAACUUCUUUUGUCAAGGGACAAAAUCAGGCUCGAGAGCCUGACCGAGGGUACUUGAAGAAAAAGCAUCGGCUAACUCCGUGCCAGCAGCCGCGGUAAUACGGAGGAUGCGAGCGUUAUCCGGAUUUAUUGGGUUUAAAGGGUUCGUAGGCGGCAAGGUAAGUCUGAUGUUAAAGCCCGGGGCUCAACUCCGGUUCGGCAUUGGAUACUAUCUAGCUAGAAUGUGGUAGAGGUAAAGGGAAUUGCUGGGGUAGCGGUGAAAUGCGUAGAUAUCAGGAGGAACAUCGGUGGCGAAGGCGCUUUACUGGACCAUUAUUGACGCUGAGGAACGAAAGCCAGGGGAGCAAAUGGGAUUAGAUACCCUUGUAGUC
This 460-nucleotide ribosomal RNA is filed under the name uncultured bacterium. RNAcentral's name for it is "partial 16S ribosomal RNA". It matches the Rfam family "Bacterial small subunit ribosomal RNA", at positions 338 to 795 of the family's 1533-position model. The record is from RNAcentral.